GAAAAAGGAAUUUAACACUGCCAAAAAUUGCCGUCCAUGUAUGUUCCUCGAUGAAUUGGAGGGUUCCUAGAAAAAAAAUGAAAGCAAAGGUCACACACAAGUUAUAAUUAGGAAAUUAUACUUGUUGACUAGAAUGAAAAAGAGAAUUUAAGAAACAUUUUUUUAUCUAAAAUCAGAAGCCAAAGUUAAGAAACACUUGGUGUAAUCUUGAUGAAAAUGUAACCAUCUAGAGAAGAAUCUGCACAAAAUAAGCUAUUGGUGAGAGAGAGACAGAGCUGUCAGAAGUUUAAAAC
Molecule: long non-coding RNA, 293 nt
Filed under: Populus trichocarpa (black cottonwood)
Lineage: Eukaryota; Viridiplantae; Streptophyta; Magnoliopsida; Malpighiales; Salicaceae
Description: long non-coding RNA (PTRI_LNC000647)
Source: RNAcentral